Molecule: ribosomal RNA, 468 nt
Filed under: uncultured bacterium
Lineage: Bacteria
Description: partial 16S ribosomal RNA
Rfam family: Bacterial small subunit ribosomal RNA
Source: RNAcentral
GACGAACGCUGGCGGCGUGCUUAACACAUGCAAGUCGAACGGAAAGGCCCUGCUUUUGUGGGGUGCUCGAGUGGCGAACGGGUGAGUAACACGUGAGUAACCUGCCCUUGACUUUGGGAUAACUUCAGGAAACUGGGGCUAAUACCGGAUAGGAGCUCCUGCUGCAUGGUGGGGGUUGGAAAGUUUCGGCGGUUGGGGAUGGACUCGCGGCUUAUCAGCUUGUUGGUGGGGUAGUGGCUUACCAAGGCUUUGACGGGUAGCCGGCCUGAGAGGGUGACCGGCCACAUUGGGACUGAGAUACGGCCCAGACUCCUACGGGCGGCAGCAGUGGGGAAUAUUGCACAAUGGGCGGAAGCCUGAUGCAGCAGCGCCGCGUGCGGGAUGACGGCCUUCGGGUUGUAAACCGCUUUCGCCUGUGACGAAGCGUGAGUGACGGUAAUGGGUAAAGAAGCACCGGCUAACUACGUG